AACGAACGCUGGCGGCGUGGCUAAGACAUGCAAGUCGAACGGUAGGUUAUAGCAAUAUGGCCUAUAGUGGCGGACGGGUGAGUAAUAAAUAGGUAACGUACCCUGGGCACGGGGAUAGCGUCGUCCCGAGCAAUCGGGGCUUUGCGAAAGUGACGGUAAUACCCGGUAAUGUCUUCGAGUGGCAUCACUCGAAGACCAGAGGUGGGGACCUUCGGGCCUAUCGGCCUGGGAGCGGCCUAUUUCCAUCAGCUAGUUGGUGAGGUAACGGCUCACCAAGGCUUCGACGGGUAACCGGGACUGAGAGGUCGGCCGGUCACAUCGGGACUGAGACACUGCCCGGACAUCUACGGAUGGCUGCAGUAACGAAUAUUCCGCAAUGGCGCAAGCCUGACGGAGCGACGCCGCGUGGAGGACGAA
This 417-nucleotide ribosomal RNA is filed under the name uncultured bacterium. RNAcentral describes it as "bacterial SSU rRNA". It matches the Rfam family "Bacterial small subunit ribosomal RNA", at positions 29 to 412 of the family's 1533-position model. The record is from RNAcentral.